This 345-nucleotide unclassified non-coding RNA is filed under the name soil metagenome. RNAcentral describes it as "partial contains 5.8S ribosomal RNA, internal transcribed spacer 2, and large subunit ribosomal RNA". The stretch from base 1 to 120 matches the Rfam family "5.8S ribosomal RNA", at positions 35 to 154 of the family's 154-position model. The record is from RNAcentral.
GAUGAAGAACGCAGCGAAAUGCGAUACGUAAUGUGAAUUGCAGAAUUCAGUGAAUCAUCGAGUCUUUGAACGCACAUUGCGCCCCCUGGUAUUCCGGGGGGCAUGCCUGUCCGAGCGUCAUUGCUGCCCUCAAGCACGGCUUGUGUGUUGGGCCUCCGUCCUCCUCCCGGGGGACGGGCCCGAAAGGCAGCGGCGGCACCGCGUCCGGUCCUCGAGCGUAUGGGGCUUCGUCACCCGCUCUUGUAGGCCCGGCCGGCGCUUGCCGACACAUCAAUCUUUUUUCCAGGUUGACCUCGGAUCAGGUAGGGAUACCCACUGAACUUAAGCAUAUCAAUAAGCGGAGGA